This is a non-coding RNA of Solanum tuberosum (potato), 198 nucleotides long. NCBI's taxonomy places the organism in Eukaryota, Viridiplantae, Streptophyta, Magnoliopsida, Solanales, Solanaceae. The record is from RefSeq and is marked provisional.
GGUUUAGUGUUUAGAAUUUAGGAUUAAGGGUUUAGGGUUUAGGGUUAGGGUUCAAUGUUUGGAGUUUAGGAUAUAGGAUUUAGGGUUUAGGAUUUAGGGUUUAGGGAUUAGAGUUUAGGAUUUAGAGUUUAGGGUUUAGAGUUUGCGUUUAGGUUUUAGGGUUUAGGCUUUUGUUUUAGAGUUUAAGGUUUAGAGUUU